AAGGGAGACCUAAUUCAGGUAUGGGACGAAAAAAAAGUAGUCGCUACCAAGAAUCAAUCCCAAAAGGUCGGAGCGAGGUAUGAGGCUUUCAAACUAGGUUCUGGGUUCAAACAAGACCUGAAUCAGGAACAAGGGCUAUUAGCUCAGGUGGUUAGAGCGCACCCCUGAUAAGGGUGAGGUCCCUGGUUCGAGUCCAGGAUGGCCCACCUGCACAGGUGGCAAAAACAAGAGAAGCGAGGAAUCAGCACCUUAUCUUAUCUAUAUAUAAGAGAGAAUGCUGGCUCUGAGUAAAGAGUCCAGAGGAACCUUGAAAACUGCAUAGAGCUAGGUUAAAAAGCCAAAAAAGAAGACCGCAA
Molecule: transfer RNA, 356 nt
Filed under: uncultured Microcystis sp.
Lineage: Bacteria; Bacillati; Cyanobacteriota; Cyanophyceae; Chroococcales; Microcystaceae
Description: partial 16S-23S ribosomal RNA intergenic spacer
Rfam family: tRNA (bases 133-206)
Source: RNAcentral